Brachypodium distachyon (stiff brome) is the source of this 2766-nucleotide long non-coding RNA. RefSeq lists it as uncharacterized. The record is from RefSeq and is a predicted model, not a curated record. The transcript is spliced from 2 exons. NCBI's taxonomy places the organism in Eukaryota, Viridiplantae, Streptophyta, Magnoliopsida, Poales, Poaceae.
GCGUUGCUCGCCCUUCGGCGAUGUCGCCGCCCUCCGUGCCGCGCGCCGGCGUUGUCCUCUUCCAGCGCGUUGCCGUGGGCCCUGGUCCAGCGUGCCGCUGCCCGCGGCCCUCGCAGCGGACACCGGCGCCCCCAUCCGGCGCGCCGGGCGGCGUCCUCCUCGGGCGCCAGCUCCGCCCUUGCAGCGGCCGCCUCCGCCCUCCUCUGGCACGCCGGCGCCCUCUUCCUUCGGCACCGUCGCCGCCCUCGGCGCAGGCCGCUGCCGCGGCCCUCUUCCGGCGGCGGCCGCCGCCCGCAUCCAGCGCGCCGACGGCGUCCUCUUCCGGGCCUCCGCGGCCGUCCUCCAGCGUGCCGAAGUUGCCCUUCGCGCCACUCGACGUCACGGCCGUCCCCCGGUGCGCCGAAGUUCCCUUCGCGGCACUCGCCGUCGUGGUCCUCGCAACUGCCCCCGUCGGCCUCCAGCGUGCAGGUCGCCGUCGCGGUCUUUGCACCGGCCGCCGCCAUCCUCCGCGCGCGCCGGCGCCGUCGUCGCAGCGGCCAUCGCCGACCCCUCCCAACAGCCGUCGUUUUUAAGCACGGGUUAGAUUACGUCUGUGCCCUGCCUUCUAAUUACUCCAUCCGGAUACUCCGUUCGUUCAAGUUGGAGUAUUAGGGAGUAACGGUCAAUCUGAGCCAUUAGAUUAAUCUUGUCGAAAGCAGCAGCAUAACGGGCCAGCAUGGCCGCGUCAUCGGAGGCAGCCUCCUCAAACACGACGCCAAGCUUCUUGCAGAUGAGGCGCUUCGCCUUGGACAUGACGUGCACAGGACUAGCCUGCUUGGAAGCCAGUCGGCCACUCCGCCUGACCGGUGCCCGAGCAGUAGCACGAGGAGGGGCGAUGCUCGCCGGCUCCUUAAUCUAUAACUAUAUAUUGAUUGUUUGUACCUUAGUCUAUAUCGUCUUGAUUCUAAUGUUAUAACACUAUUGUCUAUGUUUAGUUCAUUAGAAAUGCCUCAUUCCGUGUUAAUGCUGCUAUUAAUGUGCUGUGCAAGUGUGCAUUACUAUGCUAUGUAUUCUCCUGAUGCUAAUGCUGCUGUUCAUUGUUUUUGCACUAUCUUCUUUCUAAUGUUGCUUCAAAUUGUUAUGCAGUUUCACAGGGUAAAGGUUCAUUUUAGUAGGAAGUAUAUUCGUAGACACCACUUGUUUGUACUUUACAAGUAUGAGGCCGGAGUAACACUGGAAAGUAUUGUAGCCCACCAAAGUCUAGUAGAGGAUGUUACUCCAAAUGCCCAGAAGCCUGGCUGCACAUCUGUUUUUACCCGGGCAAGCCUUUUGGUCCGUGAAAUUGCAGCUGCUUCUGUGAAGCUGGUCAGCGUGAUUCAUGAUUGCGGAUACUCCCUUGAUGGGCGUUUGACGUUCUCAAACUUGUUCUGGAUCCCUGCAACAAAGAGUCUGAAGGUUGGAGCCUUGGAGGUUUAAGAGGGAAAGAUUUCAAGAAGAAGACCCCCUUGAUGGCUGAAAGAGAUUACCAGUCUCUUUCUUUGAUCUUUACCAAGGAGCUUUUCGGGAGUGUGCCAAUUCCUGAUGAGCUGGGAGCUUGGCUGGACUUACUUCGCGAGAACCCUCUGUCACAUGUUGAUCUUAUAACAGAACAUAUGUUCCUGCUGGAAGAUGAUGAGAAGAUGGCAAAAUAUAUCAUCUUGUUUCAGAAGCUGCAGCAAGCGAAAAUAUCAGCUAUGACAUUUACAAGAGUGCAUUGUCAGUCGUCUCAGUUGGCGAUAGCACUGGAAGAUUCAGGUGGAAAGCGGCAGUUCUGCAAAGCUAUUUUCUAGAAGCUGUGAAGAAUUACAAACCGACAGAGUUUUAUGAAGCAGACGCUGAAGGAUUGCUCCUCUUUGGGAGGCACUGUUGCCACCAUCUGUGUGAUUCUUCUGUGAAGACAGUUGAACAUAGAGGCAUCCAUACAGCAGUCAUUGUAAUUCAUGUGUCCGAAGUGUAUUCGCACAUGAAGGCAUUUGUUCCUGGUCUGUUUGCCCAGUUACAGAAGGCCGUGCAUGCUAUCAUAAAGGACCUCAAGGCUGCUAAUUUGCCUAUCCCAAAAUGAGGAACUUCUAUAACGUCCUCAUCUGCAGCUUAUGACUUGCUUUAGUUCAGUACACAAGGAAGCUCUUGGAGUAUCAAGGUUUUGCUCCCUUUCUCCCCUCGACAUGGCGGAACUUCUAUAAUGUCUGUCCUCAUCGGCAGCUUAUGACUUGCUUUAGUUCAGUACACAAGGCAGCUCUUGGAGCAUUAAGGUUUUGGCCCCUUUCUCCCCUCGACAUGGCAGAUGAUCAAUCUCUCCCUCUGGCGGAUUUGGAAGCUCCGUAACGGUUGCGUCUUCGAGGGGGCCUCUCCGGUGGUCGCUCGUCUCGUUGAGGAUAUCUUCGUGGAGGCGGAUCUUUGGCGUGCUGCCAGCGCUCGACAGCUCGACCGCCUCCCCCUUCACUCCCGGCCCCUGAUGCCGGGCUUAGUCCUUCUGUAUAGGGGCCUGGAGCCCAUCCUGCUUUUUGCUGUUUUUGAGCAUUUUUGCUCUUAGGGCUGCCUUUGUACUUGCGCUUCUUGCGCCUUCUUCUUAAUGAAAAUGACACGCCGCUCGUCGUGUUCGAGAAAAAUCAGCAAAGUACCUGCGUUAGUUCUUGUACACACUGUUGGCCACUAAUGUUCAGAUUCUUGUUGUGUUGUGUUUUCUGAAUAUAACUCACCAGCACCCCCAGGUUGUGCUCCCCUGGCUUGCAAUUACUGUUGAAUUUA